UUCUCCGUGAGCUGCAGCAAGCAUGGCUGAAUGUGUUGUGUCUUCAGCAUUUAAUCCUGUGCCAUCCGCGAGAAAUUAAGGCGAAGCAAUGCUUUUUCACCCAGCUUAUGAUACGUGGAAGUCGACAGUAAAUGCUCAAUCUUGCUACACGUCUCCCUCUCAUCAAUUUGCUGUGGUUUAAUUGGUGUUUAGUCGGAGUUGUUACACUUUUGAUGAGAACAAUACAACUUUAUUAAUGCAAAAACAUACAAAGACAUUUAUCACAAUUAGCAUAACAAUGAAUUGAUGCAACAAGGGUCUACAGCAGCAAAAGAGCCAACCUUAAAAAGCUCAAAAGCCUGAUAAAGAUGGCUGGUUCUGUUCGGGAGAUGAAGUUGGAACCUCUGGAGAUGAUUAUGCAAAGAAGGUGUAAUGAAUUGAGGAACUGUAGUAGUGAGGAAUGACGCGGUGGACCCAAGUUGUAGUGUGAAAUUAUGAUUUUAAUGAUAAAAUAUACAAAAUCCAGGAAGCAUGGAUAAGCAUGGAACAGAGAAACAGGUAGAUUCAUGGGAUACACACAACAAGGAUUCGACAAGGGGCAGAUGGCACAAGUAGGGUUAAAUACACAGAGGGUAAUCGGGGAAAAAGAGGGACAGCUGGAAACGAAGGGGAAAACGCAACAACAAAGACUCAAUUAACUUUAAAGACACACAAAAUCCAAAUCCUCACAGAAGGAUUCUUCAUAGGAACAAGAAAAUUAUGGACAACCCUGACCAUCCUCUUCAUGAGACUGUCUAGGGAAGGCAGAGCAUCUUCAGUCAGAGGCUUCUUCAGAUUCAGUGCAACACAGAAGUAAGGAGCUAUAGCAAAAGAGGCUUCGGCAAUUUAUUUUGUCUUUACUACAAGACAAAAUACAUGUGUAAAUGAGAGAGGCCUUCUGAGAAAGGAAUCAAAGCAAUUCAAC
This is a long non-coding RNA of Xiphophorus maculatus (southern platyfish), 943 nucleotides long. RefSeq lists it as uncharacterized. The transcript is spliced from 3 exons. The record is from RefSeq and is a predicted model, not a curated record. NCBI's taxonomy places the organism in Eukaryota, Metazoa, Chordata, Actinopteri, Cyprinodontiformes, Poeciliidae.